GAUAUUUUAAAAUUAAUUUCAUAAGAUGAAAAUCAACCCAAUAUGCCGCCAUUCUUUAGUGGCUAAAAUAGCUUUAGCUGUUAUUUUUGAGGUCACCAGUGUGUUAUUAAUAAAAAUCCUAAUGUUGUAUGCUCACCUAUGUCAGACAAUUUUUUUAAGUGGUUGUAGUUAGGUUUAAUGAUUAUUUGGUUUGCUUCUUGUGCAAGACAUGCUACCAGAAGCCAAAAGGAGCUCAAAGAAGAUGACUGCCCUUGCUUUAAAAAACUUAAACUAUACUAAAUAAUUACAUGAAAUAACGGAACAUAGGCAGAAUCUUAGAAUUAUAAGUAAGAAAUAGUGUGAUGGAAUACGAGGGGUAGACCCUCUAACGGAACCUUGAAAAACUAGCAAGACUUUUGACAAAGGAGGGGAUCUCCCAGACACCCAGAACUAAAUAACAUCCAUGGGAAAAUCAAUAAAGCCCACGACCGUGUUGACACUUCAGUUCUCAACUGAACGGUCACUUCAGGUACCUGAAGACUGUUUCUCUUGCUUUGAGUUGUUAAUCUAAGGUUGUUCUUUGGAGCAGGACUAUUUUUAUUUCCAGAAGCAUCACCUCCUAACCAGAGAUCAGUCACUGUCACCGAAUUAGAGCUUAACGACGUCACACAGGACCAGCCCUGCGUGAGCUGAACAUCUGUGGAGCAUUUGAAAGCCUGCACAUUCCCAGAAAUUAAGGAAUGUAGAGAAUCUAAUUGAUCCCACGGAGGGUGGAGGAGUAUUUCGCCUCCAUGAAAGGGUGGCAGGCAAGGUGAAUGGGACUCGGCUGGGUACUCUCACUGAACCUGGUUCAAGCUCAUUACCCCUUCAGAAGUUUUCAUCAACUUUUCUUAAUACAACAGGCUCCAUCAGUGCCUGACACAUAGUAGGUCCUCAAUAAUUACUAACUAAAUGACAGACUUUUGGGGGGCCUUUUUUACCCAUGUUGUCAUAAAAGUUGUUCAAGUAUUAUAGAAAAGUAUCUGUUCUGAGCACUCAAUUCUGUGUUCAUUUCAGUGUCUUUUACGUCCAAUGCACAGAUAGUUCAUGCACCUCUUCGAUCUGCAGAAUGCGUUUCCUAUAAUAUCUUGUUUGAUUCUCACAGCAAUAGAGGGGUGAGUAGGGCAAGUGUCAUUAUUCCUUUUGUUCUCUCUUAUUUUGCUGCACCCCACAGCUUGCAGGAUCUUGAUUCCUGACCAGGGAUUGAACCCUCACCCCUUAUAGUGCAAGCGCUGAGUCCUAACCACUGGACCACCAGGGAAGUCCACCACUACUCGUAUUUUACAGAUGGAGCUACUGACAUUCACGAAAGUCAGGAGACUUGUCCAAGAUUCUACAUCUUUGUGAUGUCAUAUGAUAUUUGUCUUUCUCCGUCUGACCUAAUUCACUCAGUAUGAUUCGCUUUGAAUCUCAUCUGAAGCUCGAAACAGCCAUCCAAGUCCAAGUCUGCCGUUGACGUCUGUCCAUACGGCUGCUGUUAAGUUACAGCAGGAGGAUAUAUCUGCUGUGCAGACGACUUUUCAGAACAACCGCGUUGCUUCAGCUCAGUGACCAUAAGGCAACAGAGACCUCCUGGGAUUCUUGUGAGAACGCAGGCAAUAGCGCAGUCGACCCACACAGGGGCCAGUGCACAUGCGUGCUCGGCCGCUCAGGCGUGUCCAGCCCUGUGCGACCCCACGGACUGCGG
Non-coding RNA from Odocoileus virginianus texanus, 1705 nucleotides. The record is from RefSeq and is a predicted model, not a curated record. NCBI's taxonomy places the organism in Eukaryota, Metazoa, Chordata, Mammalia, Artiodactyla, Cervidae.